Molecule: non-coding RNA, 996 nt
Organism: Cinara cedri
Lineage: Eukaryota; Metazoa; Arthropoda; Insecta; Hemiptera; Aphididae
Source: the annotation of a GenBank genome assembly
CAUGUAAGAAUGCAUUUAAUUUUCAGUAAUUCAUUACAUAUUGUUGAAAAAAAAAAUGUAUUUAUUAUUUUGCUAUGAACCAUAAACCAAUCAUAAUUUUAGUAAACAUUAACAAUAAUAAUACAUAGAUAAUAAGAAAAAGUUUGAUUCUAACAAUUAUUAAUAAUUAAUAAUUAAUAGGGUAAAACAUGAAAAAAAUAAUAGGUAUAAUUCAGUUCACAACAAUAAUAGAAAUAAAAUAUUGAUUAAAAUAAUAAUAUCUUCCAUUAAAAUUCAUUUAAAACUAUUUUGUCAAAUCAUAAAGUCAACAUACAUUUUUUACAUUGUGGCAGUGGAGUAAAAAUAAAUAACUAAAUAUUUAGUUCAAUGGAUAUAAAUAAUAAUAAUAACAAUAAGUAAAAUAUUUAACUUACAAAAAAUACAACACAAUAUUUUUGUAAUAGAAAUACAAUAGAUAUGAAUAUAUAUAUAUAGAUAAUAGGUAGGUACAUAUAUAGAUAUAUAUAAUAAAUUUGUUUUUUAAUCUUAGAAUUCUAUAAAUAGGUUGAUACUUAGAUAAAUAAUUGUUUAAACAUACACCAAUUUAUUAAAGAUCAAACACCAAACAAAGCUGAGUAAGUUAAAACAUAAUUAUGUAAUGUCAUAAGUUUAAUACCGUUUCAUUUUAUAGAGAGUUUUACUUAAAUAUAUUAUUUUUAUAAUGCAUCCAUAUUAUGUAUAUUAUAGUUAGCUAAAAGCUUAGAGAAUACAAGCAUAAUAUAUAAAUUAACACUUUAAUAAUGUUUAUCUAUUCUAUUAACAACAUAAAAAUUAAUUGGAAAGUCAAAAAGAAGAGCCAUAUUUUUUGGAUAUUAAUUUUCUAAAUAUAUAAUAUUCUAAUAUUCUAAUUAAACAAAGUAUUUUAAUUUUUAAUAAAAAAUGUAUAUUAAUUGAUAAUUGAUAAAUAUUUGGAAUUUAAUAUCAAUAAAAUAUGAUAAUAUUAUAAUAAUAAAUUAC